This 392-nucleotide ribosomal RNA is filed under the name uncultured bacterium. RNAcentral's name for it is "bacterial SSU rRNA". It matches the Rfam family "Bacterial small subunit ribosomal RNA", at positions 28 to 420 of the family's 1533-position model. The record is from RNAcentral.
GACGAACGCUGGCGGCGUGCUUAACACAUGCAAGUCGAGCGGUAAGGCCCUUUCGGGGGUACGACGAGCGGCGAACGGGUGAGUAACACGUGGGUGACCUGCCCUUAGCUCUGGGAUAAGCCUGGGAAACUGGGUCUAAUACCGGAUAUGACUCCAUGACGCAUGUUGUGGGGUGGAAAGCCUUGUGCGGCUAGGGAUGGGCCCGCGGCCUAUCAGCUUGUUGGUGGGGUGAUGGCCUACCAAGGCGACGACGGGUAGCCGGCCUGAGAGGGCGACCGGCCACACUGGGACUGAGACACGGCCCAGACUCCUACGGGAGGCAGCAGUGGGGAAUCUUGCGCAAUGGGCGAAAGCCUGACGCAGCGACGCCGCGUGAGGGAUGACGGCCUGGU